UCGAGACCGAAUAUAUCGAGCGAUUCAGAGAACCUGUGAACGAACGAUGGCACUCGCCGUCGGUAACAGCCGUCCCUGUUGUCGGCCUCAUCGGGGCCAUGAUGGGGCGGAUAAAACUCAAACCGGCGCAGCUACGCGCCAAGGUAAUGCAAAUAGACACGAGCCCGCAUCGGGUUCGGUGGCGUGGAGUGCUUUUGCACACCACACGGAUCAAAAUGACUCUCGGCAAUGGAUAUCUCGGCUCUCGCAUCGAUGAAGAGCGCAGCGAAAUGCGAUACGUGGUGCGAAUUGCAGAAUCCCGCGAACCAUCGAGAAUUUGAACGCAAGUUGCGCCCGAGGCCAGCUGGCCAAGGGCACGUCCGCCUGGGCGUCAAGCGUUGCGUCGCUCUGUGCCAGCUCCAUCCCACCCAACAGGUGUGCAUGGGGACGGCCGGAUGUGCAGAUUGGCUCGUCGUGCCCACGAGUGCGACGGGCUGAAGAGCGGGUGAUCGUCUCGUUGGCCACGAACAACAAGGGGUGGAUGAAAAUUGUGCCUGUGUUGUAUCGUGCCGGCCUGAGAAGAGAUCAUACCCUGCGGAUAAUCCCAACCCAAGCGUUAUUCCACGGAUGGCGGCUUGGAAU
Molecule: ribosomal RNA, 621 nt
Filed under: Stelis antillensis
Lineage: Eukaryota; Viridiplantae; Streptophyta; Magnoliopsida; Asparagales; Orchidaceae
Description: eukaryotic LSU rRNA
Rfam family: 5.8S ribosomal RNA (bases 218-373)
Source: RNAcentral